This 385-nucleotide ribosomal RNA is filed under the name uncultured bacterium. RNAcentral's name for it is "bacterial SSU rRNA". It matches the Rfam family "Bacterial small subunit ribosomal RNA", at positions 357 to 759 of the family's 1533-position model. The record is from RNAcentral.
CUCCAACGAGCGCAAUGGGCGAAAGCCUGACGCAGCCAUGCCGCGUGAAUGAUGAAGGUCUUAGGAUUGUAAAAUUCUUUCACCGGGGACGAUAAUGACGGUACCCGGAGAAGAAGCCCCGGCUAACUUCGUGCCAGCAGCCGCGGUAAUACGAAGGGGGCUAGCGUUGCUCGGAAUUACUGGGCGUAAAGGGAGCGUAGGCGGACUGUUUAGUCAGAGGUGAAAGCCCAGGGCUCAACCUUGGAAUUGCCUUUGAUACUGGCAGUCUUGAGUACGGAAGAGGUAUGUGGAACUCCGAGUGUAGAGGUGAAAUUCGUAGAUAUUCGGAAGAACACCAGUGGCGAAGGCGACAUACUGGUCCGUUACUGACGCUGAGGCUCGAAAG